UACGGAGGGGGUUAGCGUUGUUCGGAAUUACUGGGCGUAAAGCGCACGUGGCGGAUCAGAAAGUUGGGGGUGAAAUCCCGGGGCUCAACCCCGGAACUGCCUCCAAAAUCCUGGUCUUGAGUUCGAGAGAGGUGAUGGAAUUCCGAUGUAGAGGUGAAAUUCGUAGAUAUUCGGAGGAACACCAGUGGCGAAGGCGGCUCACUGGCUCGAUACUGACGCUGAGGUGCGAAAGUGUGGGGAGCAAACAGGAUUAGAUA
This 257-nucleotide ribosomal RNA is filed under the name uncultured bacterium. RNAcentral describes it as "partial 16S ribosomal RNA". It matches the Rfam family "Bacterial small subunit ribosomal RNA", at positions 524 to 784 of the family's 1533-position model. The record is from RNAcentral.